CCUACGGGUGGCAGCAGUGAGGAAUAUUGGUCAAUGGACGAGAGUCUGAACCAGCCAAGUAGCGUGAAGGAUGACUGACCUAUGGGUUGUAAACUUCUUUUAUAUGGGAAUAAAAUGUUCCACGUGUGGGAUUUUGUAUGUACCAUAUGAAUAAGGAUCGGCUAACUCCGUGCCAGCAGCCGCGGUAAUACGGAGGAUCCGAGCGUUAUCCGGAUUUAUUGGGGUUAAAGGGAGCGUAGGUGGAUUGUUAAGUCAGGUGUGAAAGUUUGAGGCUCAACCGUAAAAUUGCAGUUGAAACUGGCAGUCUUGAGUACAGUAGAGGUGGGCGGAAUUCGUGGUGUAGCGGUGAAAUGCUUAGAUAUCACGAAGAACUCCGAUUGCGAAGGCAGUUCACUGGACUGCAACUGACACUGAGGCUCGAAAGUGUGGGUAUCAAACAGGAUUAGAUACCCGAGUAGUC
Molecule: ribosomal RNA, 460 nt
Filed under: uncultured bacterium
Lineage: Bacteria
Description: partial 16S ribosomal RNA
Rfam family: Bacterial small subunit ribosomal RNA
Source: RNAcentral